This 531-nucleotide ribosomal RNA is filed under the name uncultured bacterium. RNAcentral describes it as "bacterial SSU rRNA". It matches the Rfam family "Bacterial small subunit ribosomal RNA", at positions 979 to 1509 of the family's 1533-position model. The record is from RNAcentral.
CCUUGACAUACUAAGAACUUUCCAGAGAUGGAUUGGUGCCUUCGGGAACUUAGAUACAGGUGCUGCAUGGCUGUCGUCAGCUCGUGUCGUGAGAUGUUGGGUUAAGUCCCGCAACGAGCGCAACCCUUUUCCUUAUUUGCCAGCGGGUCAUGCCGGGAACUUUAAGGAUACUGCCAGUGACAAACUGGAGGAAGGCGGGGACGACGUCAAGUCAUCAUGGCCCUUACGGCCAGGGCUACACACGUGCUACAAUGGUCGGUACAAAGGGUUGCUACCUCGCGAGAGGAUGCUAAUCUCAAAAAGCCGAUCGUAGUUCGGAUCGCAGUCUGCAACUCGACUGCGUGAAGUCGGAAUCGCUAGUAAUCGCGGAUCAGAAUGCCGCGGUGAAUACGUUCCCGGGCCUUGUACACACCGCCCGUCACACCAUGGGAGUUUGUUGCACCAGAAGUAGGUAGUCUAACCGCAAGGAGGACGCUUACCACGGUAUGGCCGAUGACUGGGGUGAAGUCGUAACAAGGUAGGCGUAGAUGA